This 354-nucleotide unclassified non-coding RNA is filed under the name soil metagenome. Its description in RNAcentral is "partial contains 5.8S ribosomal RNA, internal transcribed spacer 2, and large subunit ribosomal RNA". The stretch from base 1 to 120 matches the Rfam family "5.8S ribosomal RNA", at positions 35 to 154 of the family's 154-position model. The record is from RNAcentral.
GAUGAAGAACGUAGCGAAAUGCGAUAAGUAGUGUGAAUUGCAGAAUUCAGUGAAUCAUCGAAUCUUUGAACGCACAUUGCGCCUCCUGGUAUUCCGGGAGGCAUGCCUGUUCGAGCGUCAUUAAAAUCACUCAAACUUAGGUUUACCUAUUGCUUGGUCUUGGAGAUGGAAGCCAAUUUAUUGGAAUCCUCUUCGAAAUUCAAUGGCGAAGACCCUUGCUCUCCCAAGUGUAGUAAUAACUUAUGUCACUGAAGGAAGCGAGAAAUCUUCUGCCGUAACCCCCAUAUUUUCUAUGAUUGACCUCGGAUCAGGUAGGGAUACCCGCUGAACUUAAGCAUAUCAAUAAGCGGAGGA